Molecule: long non-coding RNA, 424 nt
Organism: Rattus rattus (black rat)
Lineage: Eukaryota; Metazoa; Chordata; Mammalia; Rodentia; Muridae
Exons: 2
Source: RefSeq, a predicted model, not a curated record
CACACAUUUAUUUAGUGGGUACCCUGUUUAACUUUGUAUUUGUUCUCUUUACAGGGUUUCAGACAAAAUAAAAAAGAAGGAAAGUGCUCACAUACAAAUUAAGAAGUUCAGCUCUCUCCCAAGGAGAUGGUUUGUUUGUGUCCCUGGUCGAUAAGAACAGAAGUCUCCUCGUCACCUUUGUGGACUCUUGGCUAAGUGGUGUCAUCAUCAGGGUCUCCCUGUUCUGGGAGUCCAUCCUGAGUCAGCAGCAGGGCGUGCCUAGAGCAGCAGUUGGAGGAACCGAUCAAUCGAUCGAUCAGUGGCAGUGUGAGUGCAUGGAAGUCAGCCAAACUGUGACUGAGCACAAACGGACAAUUGCAAUUUUCUUAGAAUGUCAAGAUUUGUAUUAAUGCCUUUAAAAUUAAAUAAAAGCCCUUUUUUGAAA